Molecule: non-coding RNA, 72 nt
Organism: Ornithorhynchus anatinus (platypus)
Lineage: Eukaryota; Metazoa; Chordata; Mammalia; Monotremata; Ornithorhynchidae
Source: Rfam
AGCAGCGUGGCUUAAGGGAAAGAGCCUGGGCUUGGGAGUCAGAGGUCAUGAGUUCGAAUCCCAGCACUGCCA